GACGAACGCUGGCGGCGUGCUUAACACAUGCAAGUCGAACGGAAAGGCCCUGCUUUUGUGGGGUGCUAGAGUGGCGAACGGGUGAGUAACACGUGAGUAACAUGCUCUUGACUUUGGGAUAACUUCAGGAAACUGGGGCUAAUACCGGAUAGGAGCUCCUGCUGCAUGGUGGGGGUUGGAAAGUUUCGGCGGUUGGGGAUGGACUCGCGGCUUAUCAGCUUGUUGGUGGGGUAGUGGCUUACCAAGGCUUUGACGGGUAGCCGGCCUGAGAGGGUGACCGGCCACAUUGGGACUGAGAUACGGCCCAGACUCCUACGGGAGGCAGCAGUGGGGAAUAUUGCACAAUGGGCGGAAGCCUGAUGCAGCAACGCCGCGUGCGGGAUGACGGCCUUCGAGUUGUAAACCGCUUUCGCCUGUGACGAAGCGUGAGUGACGGUAAUGGGUAAAGAAGCACCGGCUAACUACGUG
Molecule: ribosomal RNA, 468 nt
Filed under: uncultured bacterium
Lineage: Bacteria
Description: partial 16S ribosomal RNA
Rfam family: Bacterial small subunit ribosomal RNA
Source: RNAcentral